GAUCAUGGCUCAGGAUGAACGCUAGUUACAGGCUUAACACAUGCAAGUCGAGGGGCAGCAUGAACUUAGCUUGCUAAGUUUGAUGGCGACCGGCGCACGGGUGAGUAACACGUAUCCAACCUGCCGAUGACUCGGGGAUAGCCUUUCGAAAGAAAGGUUAAUGCCCGAUGGUUUCAAGGGAUUGCAUGGUAUCUUGAAUAAAGAUUCAUCGGUAUGCGAUGGUGAUGCG
Molecule: ribosomal RNA, 229 nt
Filed under: uncultured bacterium
Lineage: Bacteria
Description: partial 16S ribosomal RNA
Rfam family: Bacterial small subunit ribosomal RNA
Source: RNAcentral